GAACGCCGGCCAUUCUUUCGGUGUAGACACCAUCUUCACCAAUUGAGAGCAGUCGGUUGCAAACACCACCUCUGAGAUUUGUAGGGUCUUCAUGCACUCCAUCGCCCAUAUCAACGCUUCACAUUCUGCAUGUAAAGAUGAUAGACUCCUGCGAAUAGACAUAUCACCCAUCAUAGUAUCAGUUGAACCAUCUUUUUUGUAGACCCAUCAUUUGCCCGUGUAAGGGUUUUGUUCCUUCCAUGCU
Molecule: long non-coding RNA, 244 nt
Filed under: Brassica napus (rape)
Lineage: Eukaryota; Viridiplantae; Streptophyta; Magnoliopsida; Brassicales; Brassicaceae
Description: long non-coding RNA (BNAP_LNC003171)
Source: RNAcentral